CCGGUAAACGGCGGCCGUAACUAUAACGGUCCUAAGGUAGCGAAAUUCCUUGUCGGGUAAGUUCCGACCUGCACGAAUGGCGUAAUGAUGGCCAGGCUGUCUCCACCCGAGACUCAGUGAAAUUGAACUCGCUGUGAAGAUGCAGUGUACCCGCGGCAAGACGGAAAGACCCCGUGAACCUUUACUAUAGCUUGACACUGAACAUUGAGCCUUGAUGUGUAGGAUAGGUGGGAGGCUUUGAAGUGUGGACGCCAGUCUGCAUGGAGCCGACCUUGAAAUACCACCCUUUAAUGUUUGAUGUUCUAACGUUGACCCGUAAUCCGGGUUGCGGACAGUGUCUGGUGGGUAGUUUGACUGGGGCGGUCUCCUCCUAAAGAGUAACGGAGGAGCACGAAGGUUGGCUAAUCCUGGUCGGACAUCAGGAGGUUAGUGCAAUGGCAUAAGCCAGCUUGACUGCGAGCGUGACGGCGCGAGCAGGUGCGAAAGCAGGUCAUAGUGAUCCGGUGGUUCUGAAUGGAAGGGCCAUCGCUCAACGGAUAAAAGGUACUCCGGGGAUAACAGGCUGAUACCGCCCAAGAGUUCAUAUCGACGGCGGUGUUUGGCACCUCGAUGUCGGCUCAUCACAUCCUGGGGCUGAAGUAGGUCCCAAGGGUAUGGCUGUUCGCCAUUUAAAGUGGUACGCGAGCUGGGUUUAGAACGUCGUGAGACAGUUCGGUCCCUAUCUGCCGUGGGCGCUGGAGAACUGAGGGGGGCUGCUCCUAGUACGAGAGGACCGGAGUGGACGCAUCACUGGUGUUCGGGUUGUCAUGCCAAUGGCACUGCCCGGUAGCUAAAUGCGGAAGAGAUAAGUGCUGAAAGCAUCUAAGCACGAAACUUGCCCCGAGAUGAGUUCUCCCUG
This 898-nucleotide ribosomal RNA is filed under the name Escherichia coli. Its description in RNAcentral is "partial 23S ribosomal RNA". It matches the Rfam family "Bacterial large subunit ribosomal RNA", at positions 1920 to 2817 of the family's 2925-position model. The record is from RNAcentral. Lineage: Bacteria; Pseudomonadati; Pseudomonadota; Gammaproteobacteria; Enterobacterales; Enterobacteriaceae.